UCUCAGUGAUGAACAACACGGAUGACGAGUCUGAUAAUCCAUUCUUUUAAAAUGUAUGAAGACAAAUCGAGGCAUUUGUUUGAGAGGA
This 88-nucleotide small nucleolar RNA is filed under the name Capsicum annuum. RNAcentral's name for it is "Plant small nucleolar RNA SNOR75". It matches the Rfam family "Plant small nucleolar RNA SNOR75". Rfam says of the family: U15 is a member of the C/D class of snoRNA which contain the C (UGAUGA) and D (CUGA) box motifs. The record is from Rfam by way of RNAcentral. Lineage: Eukaryota; Viridiplantae; Streptophyta; Magnoliopsida; Solanales; Solanaceae.